AUACAGGGGGUACCGGUACAGAGUCAAUGUGGAGGCUAUAUACAGUGGGUACCGGUACAGAGUCAAUGUGGAGGCUAUAUACAGGGGGUACCGGUACAGAGUCAAUGUGGAGGCUAUAUACAGGGGGGUACCGGUACAGAGUCAAUGUGGAGGCUAUAUACAGGGGGAACCGGUACAGAGUCAAUGUGGAGGCUAUAUACAGGGGGUACCGGUACAGAGUCAAUGUGGAGGCUAUAUACAGGGGGUACCGGUACAGAGUCAAUGUGGAGGCUAUAUACAGGGUAUUACGGUACAGAGUCAAUGUGGAGGCUAUAUACAGGGUAUUACGGUACAGAGUCAAUGUGGAGGCUAUAUACAGGGUAUUACGGUACAGAGUCAAUGUGGAGGCUAUAUACAGGGGGUACCGGUACAGAGUCAAUGUGGAGGCUAUAUACAGGGGGUACCGGUACAGAGUCAAUGUGGAGGAUAUAUACAGGGUAUUACGGUACAGAGUCAAUGUGGAGGCUAUAUACAGG
This 515-nucleotide long non-coding RNA is filed under the name Salmo salar (Atlantic salmon). RNAcentral's name for it is "lncRNA (ENSSSAG00000089940.1)". Lineage: Eukaryota; Metazoa; Chordata; Actinopteri; Salmoniformes; Salmonidae. The record is from RNAcentral.